This 125-nucleotide small RNA is filed under the name Rhizobium sp. Root1212. Its description in RNAcentral is "Alphaproteobacterial ar14". It matches the Rfam family "Alphaproteobacterial ar14". From Rfam's summary of the family: Smr14C2 was renamed NfeR1 (Nodule Formation Efficiency RNA) highly expressed in salt stress and during the symbiotic interaction on legume roots. Lineage: Bacteria; Pseudomonadati; Pseudomonadota; Alphaproteobacteria; Hyphomicrobiales; Rhizobiaceae. The record is from Rfam by way of RNAcentral.
AUACAUCGGGGCAGCGCACUCCUCCUCCCAGCGCACCCCGAAGGAUCGGCGACAUCCUCCUCCUCCCGGUUGCCGAUCGAGACAGACAAUGCCCGCCGGACCUCCUCCCCCGGCGGGCAUUGUCG